Small nucleolar RNA from Phyllostomus discolor (pale spear-nosed bat), 132 nucleotides. The record is from RefSeq and is a predicted model, not a curated record. Lineage: Eukaryota; Metazoa; Chordata; Mammalia; Chiroptera; Phyllostomidae.
GCACUGCCUUUGAGCCCCCGCUGCACCUGCACAUGGUGCCAGGGGUCAGGCUGCAGCACCAGAGCAGGAGCUUGAACAUAACUGGGCUGGCUGCUCCCUGGCUGGCGGCCUUUUUAACCAGGAGCGACAUGA